RNAcentral lists this ribosomal RNA (433 nucleotides) under uncultured bacterium. Its description in RNAcentral is "partial 16S ribosomal RNA". It matches the Rfam family "Bacterial small subunit ribosomal RNA", at positions 29 to 507 of the family's 1533-position model. The record is from RNAcentral.
AACGAACGCUGGCGGCAUGCCUAACACAUGCAAGUCGAACGAGACCUUCGGGUCUAGUGGCGCACGGGUGCGUAACGCGUGGGAACCUGCCCUUAGGUUCGGAAUAACUCCCCGAAAGGGGUGCUGAUACCGGAUAACGUCUUCGGACCAAAGAUGUAUCGCCUUUGGAUGGGCCCGCGUUGGAUUCGCUAGUUGGUAGGGUAAAAGCCUACCAAGGCGACGAUCCAUAGCUGGUCUGAGAGGAUGAUCAGCCACACUGGGACUGAGACACGGCCCAGACCCCUACGGGAGGCAGCAGUGGGGAAUAUAGGACAAUGGGCGAAAGCCUGAUCCAGCAAUGCCGCGUGAGUGAUGAAGGCCUUAGGGUUGUAAAGCUCUUUUACCCGGGAUGAUAAUGACAGUACCGGGAGAAUAAGCUCCGGCUAACUCCGUG